RNAcentral lists this non-coding RNA (30 nucleotides) under Mus musculus (house mouse). Lineage: Eukaryota; Metazoa; Chordata; Mammalia; Rodentia; Muridae. The record is from RNAcentral.
UGUAGAUCUAAAGAUAAAUACUCAGGGUAC